This is a long non-coding RNA of Oncorhynchus tshawytscha (Chinook salmon), 1087 nucleotides long. RefSeq lists it as uncharacterized. The record is from RefSeq and is a predicted model, not a curated record. NCBI's taxonomy places the organism in Eukaryota, Metazoa, Chordata, Actinopteri, Salmoniformes, Salmonidae. The transcript is spliced from 4 exons.
AUAUCUACCCCUUCUCCCACUGUAUCCCUGCACAUUGAUGAUUCUGGUUCUGACCUUGUAUAUAUUGUGUACAUUGUCUAUCACAGUACGAGUCAUAAUACCCAUAAACCUAGCGGUCAAACGCGGAAAUGGUGCCAAUCGAUUUUCCAGCAUUCAUUUCUUCCAUUGGGGAAUUUAGAGACACUUAAAAUAAGGGCUGUGUUUCGUGUAGGCUUAGCCUGGCGUGAUGUUUUGAUAACUGUGUAAAUGUCUCUCGGACAAGGUGAUUUUAAUCAACAUAUUUUCUUCUAUUUACCCCCCCAAAAUUAAAUGCUAAUGUGGCUAUCAUAAAGAACAACAAAUGUCUGUCUCAAGCUUCCCGUCACUCCUCAGAGCCAUGAUGAUCUGGACGAGACUGCCGAAUCGAGGCAAAGGUAUAAUUAAGGGGGAAUUGAUAAAUAACAUGUGUGCCACUCAAGUUGAAGUUGUUGACUGAUGCCAUGGCGACGGCUGCUAAGUAGAAGGGAGCUUCUGCAAACCAGAAGUCUGCAGUCAAGGCAGCACUGGUCCAUACCUGCCUUGUGUCUGAUGCAUUCAAGCAGCACUUUGAGAGAAAGCAUCCCACGUCUCCAACGGUCCCAGUACUGGUUGAUGUUCAGGCCUAAGGGACACCACACACUCAAAUGGGCCUACAACCAGGACACACCAUGAUGACCACGAUUUCAAUGAUGCAACUGAGACGGAAUGACGUGAGGGACCCUGAGUAUGACUGGACAUGGACUGGAUAUUUGUGACAUCGACCUAGAAGGGGUGCAGAAACAUUUUAUGUUUAAACCAUAGCUAAGCAUCUCUCUAGGUACCCCUUAUUCCGCACUGUCUUUUAUAGUCCCUCAACUUUGGACACUUUGGAACUCUCCAUCUUAGCUCUGUAAACCCUCCUUACCUUCACCCAUUUUCCAUAUGCUGCUUCCUUCACUUGUUCUUCUCCUGAUUGGAUAACAUCUACACUCAGGAACGCAUUUAAAAAUGUUGUGUUAUACUGUUCUUGCUACCUUUUUUUCACCUGUGUAAUGCAGUCCUUUUACAUUAAACCUACCUUACACAUCCA